RNAcentral lists this ribosomal RNA (253 nucleotides) under uncultured bacterium. Its description in RNAcentral is "partial 16S ribosomal RNA". It matches the Rfam family "Bacterial small subunit ribosomal RNA", at positions 524 to 776 of the family's 1533-position model. The record is from RNAcentral.
UACGUAGGGUGCGAGCGUUAAUCGGAAUUACUGGGCGUAAAGCGUGCGCAGGCGGUUUUGUAAGUCAGAUGUGAAAGCCCCGGGCUUAACCUGGGAAUGGCAUUUGGGACUGCAAGGCUUGAGUGCGGCAGAGGAGACUGGAAUUCCUGGUGUAGCAGUGAAAUGCGUAGAUAUCAGGAGGAAUACCGAUGGCGAAGGCAGGUCUCUGGGCUGACACUGACGCUCAUGCACGAAAGCCAGGGGAGCAAACGGG